This 497-nucleotide ribosomal RNA is filed under the name uncultured bacterium. RNAcentral describes it as "partial 16S ribosomal RNA". It matches the Rfam family "Bacterial small subunit ribosomal RNA", at positions 28 to 507 of the family's 1533-position model. The record is from RNAcentral.
GAUGAACGCUGGCGGCGUGCCUAAUACAUGCAAGUCGAGCGAACAGACGAGGAGCUUGCUCCUCUGACGUUAGCGGCGGACGGGUGAGUAACACGUGGAUAACCUACCUAUAAGACUGGGAUAACUUCGGAAAACCGGAGCUAAUACCGGAUAAUAUAUUGAACCGCAUGGUUCAAUAGUGAAGGACGGUUUUGCUGUCACUUAUAGAUGGAUCCGCGCCGCAUUAGCUAGUUGGUAAGGUAACGGCUUACCAAGGCAACGAUGCGUAGCCGACCUGAGAGGGUGAUCGGCCACACUGGAACUGAGACACGGUCCAGACUCCUACGGGAGGCAGCAGUAGGGAAUCUUCCGCAAUGGGCGAAAGCCUGACGGAGCAACGCCGCGUGAGUGAUGAAGGUCUUCGGAUCGUAAAACUCUGUUAUUAGGGAAGAACAAAUGUGUAAGUAACUAUGCACGUCUUGACGGUACCUAAUCAGAAAGCCACGGCUAACUACGUG